AUGCGCCUCUUUUCUCCAUCUUCUUUUAACUCCCCACCAAAUCGAAAUCUGAAACAAAUCAGAAGAAAUCAGAAGAAAUUAGUAUAAUCAUUGCUCCUAAAACCAAACCUUUUCUCCAUCUUCCUGAUCUCCUCCACAAAAUCAAAGUUCUUCCAUGAAUCCAAUCUAAUCUUGUUACCAUAGAACAAAGCAAAAGAUACCAUUCAUUCUUCGUGAACCAUUUUCUUCUUUUCGUCUUUGUUGUUAACGUUUGUGACUUACCGAUCUUCUUGUAUUUUAUUGGAGAGUUUCAUUUUCUACAAUUUCUGUUCAGAUUUGAAAAGAAAAUAGGAAUUUGAUCUGGGAUUUUUUUAGGGUUUUUGUAAAUUUUAUUUGUAGAAAUUUUCAUUGGUUUUUCUUAUGAUUUUGUAUCAGAUUCUUUGGGUUGAGUUUCUAUGUAUUUCAAUUUCUGAUUUAGUUCUCUUUGAAGCAUAGAAGUUUUUUUUGACUUUCUUCUUUGCUGAAAUUAUUUUGAAAACAUUGAAGUUAUUUUGAUUGCCUUACCGUAUGCAUUAAUCUUAUGGUGAAAUUUUGCUAAUUUCGCUUAAUUUUUUAUGUUUUUAGAUUAUUAGUUAGUAAAAGGAGAUUGAGGAGAUGGCUAAGAAGAAUUGGAUGAGAGACAGAGCAAGCUAUUUGGGUUGAGGGGACAAAUAUAGGCGGUGAAAGGAUAAUGUGGCUCUUUGGAAGGUUUUUUUUAUGUAUUAUCAACUAGAAGAAUGCAAGGAGAGUUGUAAUAACACCAAUUUUAUCUCAAAACCAAGCUAAGUAGUAUUGCUCCAUUAGUUUUUUCUAUUGUAUCCAUGUGGUUCUUAGUUUAUUAUGUAACUGUUGGUGGCUCACUAAUAUUCUUGUCUGAAAAUUCAGGGAGAAGACCAAAGCAGCUGGAAAGUUUGGCAAGGUUAUGCGCAUACUGGUGUGGUUUCUUUAGUCGCAUGGUUCUGCUGGGAAACAUUUUUUUAGGUUAUAUAUUGAUGAGUUUGAGGUUCAAUAGUUUGUCCUUAUUCUGCUUUUAUCUCGAAUUUUAGGUCUUCGUAAUUACCAUUGAUAUGAACCUUGCACCCAAAUUGUGCAGUUAGCAUCAAGGAGAAUACAAGGAGGUGGCAAUACUGGAAAUGCGUUAACUUGUGAUGCUCGUUUGAAGGAUAUUAGCAUGUUGCUUAAAAAGCUUUAGUAUUCAGUCACGGACAUAUUUUGUGAAUAUAAUUGGAGAUGCCAAGAUGGUGGUGCUCUAAUGGCUUUUUCAAACAUCUACAAGCUCCCCCAUUCAUUUCAGACAUUGAAUCAGCUCCUAAUUACGCCUUUUUCGAACACGAGAGCAAGGGCAUUUUCUCUUGGACUACUAGCUCUCAAGUUGAAGGAUCUUAGCAUGUUGCUUACGAAGCUUUAGUCUUCAGUCAAUUACAUCUUUGGUGAAUAUAAUUGUAGAUGCCAAGAUGGUGGUGCUCUAAUGGCUUAGUCAAACAUCUACAAGCUCCCUCAUUCAUUUCACACAUUGAAUCAGCUCCUAAUUAAGCCUUUUUCGAACACGAGAGCAAGGGCUUUUUCUUUUGGACUACCAGCUCUCAAGAUGGGAAAUUUCACUCAACAAGGCUAUAUUUCGCUAGCAUGAACAAGUUGGGAUUGAUCAGCUAGGUGUAAAAAGCAAAGAAGAGACGUUUGAGAGCAACAACUGUAAAUGGUUCAACUCGAGGUGGUUACACAGGCAGAUAUCUGGAAUGUUGUGUUAUCUCAGUUUAGGAGCAUAGUAGUGUAAUGGAAAAGCAAUAGGAUUAGGUUCUUGGGGAGUAGAAAGCUCUUUGCAGGUGCAAUUCAAUAAGGUAUUUGUAUCACUAAUGUGACUGAUUUGUUAAAGUUUUAUUCUCCGAUGCAUAACAUUUAUAGAGCCACAUAGGAUUUGGUUCAUAGGGAGCAGACAACUCUUUGGAGUUGCAGAGAGUUUCUCUCUGUUUUUAUCUCUAUGUAAGAGGAGAUUAGAUAGUUAAAACUUACAUUGAUUUGAAGUCAGCAUUUAAAUCCUAUUUUGUAUUUGUAUUUGUGUGAAUUCAGAAUUUGAAUC
Molecule: long non-coding RNA, 2095 nt
Organism: Papaver somniferum (opium poppy)
Lineage: Eukaryota; Viridiplantae; Streptophyta; Magnoliopsida; Ranunculales; Papaveraceae
Exons: 7
Source: RefSeq, a predicted model, not a curated record